CGCGUACGAAUCUACCUUUCAGUGGGGGAUAGCUCGGGGAAACUCGAAUUAAUACCGCAUACACCCUUCGGGGGAAAGAGGGCCUCUCCUUAGAAGCUCUCGCUGUUAGAUGAGCCUGCGUGAGAUUACCUUGUUGGUAAGGUAAUGGCUUACCAAGGCUACGAUCUCUACCUGGUCUGAGAGGACGAUCAGCCACACUGGGACUGAGACACGGCCCAGACUCCUACGGGAGGCAGCAGUAGGGAAUAUUGGACAAUGGGGGCACACCUGAUCCAGGCAUGCCGCGUGUGUGAAGAAGGCCUUAGGGUUGUAAAGCACUUUAAGUGAGGAAGAAAAGAUUUAAAUUAAUACUUUAAGUCCCUGACAUUACUCACAGAAUAAG
This 382-nucleotide ribosomal RNA is filed under the name uncultured bacterium. RNAcentral's name for it is "bacterial SSU rRNA". It matches the Rfam family "Bacterial small subunit ribosomal RNA", at positions 114 to 490 of the family's 1533-position model. The record is from RNAcentral.